This 1069-nucleotide long non-coding RNA is filed under the name Apteryx rowi (Okarito brown kiwi). RNAcentral's name for it is "lncRNA (ENSARWG00000017225.1)". The record is from RNAcentral. Lineage: Eukaryota; Metazoa; Chordata; Aves; Apterygiformes; Apterygidae.
CAGGGAGGCACUGCGGGGCGGAACAUGGGAAGGUCGUAACGGGCGGAGCACUGCUGCCGGAAAAGAAGGCGGGGCUUUACAGCAUUAUAAAAGAGUAGGACACGCUUCAUUAAAUGCCAUUUUGCCACUCCUCAUAUUGGUGUCUGUGUGGUGAUGGUCCGGGGUCUGGGGAGAAGGCCCCGUGCCUCCUCGGUAAGAACGAGAACGGUAACAAGUGGUGACCCCGACGUGAUACCGAGGAGGCGGCUCGGCCGGCGCAGGCGCCGGGAGCGUGAGGAAGGGAUCCGGAUCCGGAACCAUGGAGGCCAUAUGUAAGGCUCCAGCGGGCCAUUGCAGAGUCAGACUUGCCCCCUGAGGCCCAGGGUCCGGUCAUGAUGGAGUGCCUCUGGCAGCAGAGUGACGCCAUGACGCAGGACAUCCUGAAAACGAUCCCUAAAGGAACACCACUUUCGGUUGUCAUCCGCACGGUACUGCAAAAACAGAAUCAGGGAACAGCAGCAGCGCAGGCUCUUGUCACGGCGGUGGACCAGAUGAGAAAGGGACCACAGCGUUGCUUCUCUUGUGGAUAUCACAGGGAAGAGGGGCGACGCCAGACGGGAUGCUGCUGCAUGGCUGCAUUGAUGBUUAUCGCCGGCUUCAUGAUUCCGGGGACCGCAGAGUCAUACUGGAGGAGAUGAGCACAGGCGCACAGAGCAGCUCACUACUGCAUCCCUAGAAAUGGCUUAUAACACUAGGCUUGAUAGCACUCACAGUAGUAAUAGCRAUAUGCUGCGGCUUGCUAAUUCUGAAUUAUUGCUUACGGCAUGUACGGCUUAACUGCUUGAUAGACAUGAGCAUAGAGUAUAUCAAUUAAUAGUACAGGAAAAAGAGGUUCUAGAAAGGGGGGGAGAUGUGGUGGAUCUUGGGAAACUGCAUAGACAAGAUAUUUGCAUGAGAAGCGGUAGACUAGGYGUAGCGGAAGAUCACGCGGUGUGACGCGCAGCCUAGGGGUGGAAACGAAGUGCACCUGUAUGUAAGCUUGCACGCAGCCCACAAUAAACGCCAUUAGACGAAUGGCUAACUAACCUGU